UACGAGGGGAGCAAGCGUUGUUCGGAUUUACUGGGCGUAAAGGGCGCGUAGGCGGCCCUGCAAGUCAGUUGUGAAAUCUCCGGGCUUAACCCGGAAAGGUCAACUGAUACUGCAGGGCUAGAGUGCAGAAGGGGCAACUGGAAUUCUCGGUGUAGCGGUGAAAUGCGUAGAUAUUGGGAGGAACACCAGUGGCGAAGGCGGCUCACUGGACCGGUACUGACGCUGAUGCGCGAAAGCGUGGGGAGCAAACGGG
Molecule: ribosomal RNA, 253 nt
Filed under: uncultured bacterium
Lineage: Bacteria
Description: partial 16S ribosomal RNA
Rfam family: Bacterial small subunit ribosomal RNA
Source: RNAcentral